RNAcentral lists this long non-coding RNA (472 nucleotides) under Mus musculus (house mouse). RNAcentral describes it as "braveheart long non-coding RNA". Lineage: Eukaryota; Metazoa; Chordata; Mammalia; Rodentia; Muridae. The record is from RNAcentral.
CAGGUACGCUGGCCGAAUGUAGGGUCCUGAUGAGCGCAAGCUGGGAUCUCUUUACAGUAGGAUUUCCUUGGCUGCUUCUUCCCAGGCACAGCUUGCACACAGAAGAUUCUGAGUGGUGCCAAGGUGAAUAAAGAUGCCUAAGUGCUCGUGGAAGCCAGCAGAGGGUGUAGGGUCUCCUGGAGCCACAUCUCUGGAGUUACAUGAAGUUGUGGACCUCUCAACAUGGGUUCUGGGAACUGAACCCAGGUCCUCUGGAAGGACAUCGAGUGCUCUUAACCACUGAGCCAUCUCUGCAGCCUAACCCCAUCCCUUGGAGGCUGAAGCAAAGCAAGUUCAAUGACCGUGUAAGAGGGCUUGUUUUGUCUACAUACAGUCGUUUGGGGGGAUCAUGCAGCGUGGGUUGCAUGGUGAGACCCUAUCUCAAAAGAGAAUAUCCUCGUGUGCUGGUUUUGUGGCCUGAGGUACAACUGAA